UCCCCAGUGGUCCAAUGGUUAGGAUAGUUGUCUUUCAGCACGGUCGUGCCUGCGCACAAUUGGCCGGGGUUCGAUUCCCCGCUGGGGAG
Molecule: non-coding RNA, 89 nt
Organism: Auriculariales sp. MPI-PUGE-AT-0066
Lineage: Eukaryota; Fungi; Basidiomycota; Agaricomycetes; Auriculariales
Source: the annotation of a GenBank genome assembly